RNAcentral lists this ribosomal RNA (481 nucleotides) under uncultured bacterium. RNAcentral describes it as "partial 16S ribosomal RNA". It matches the Rfam family "Bacterial small subunit ribosomal RNA", at positions 28 to 506 of the family's 1533-position model. The record is from RNAcentral.
GACGAACGCUGGCGGCGUGCUUAACACAUGCAAGUCGAACGCUGAAGCCCAGCUUGCUGGGUGGAUGAGUGGCGAACGGGUGAGUAACACGUGAGUAACCUGCCCCCUUCUUUGGGAUAACGCCCGGAAACGGGUGCUAAUACUGGAUAUUCACUGAUUCUCGCAUGGGGGUUGGUGGAAAGGUUUUUUCUGGUGGGGGAUGGGCUCGCGGCCUAUCGGCUUGUUGGUGGGGUGAUGGCCUACCAAGGCUUUGACGGGUAGCCGGCCUGAGAGGGUGACCGGUCACAUUGGGACUGAGAUACGGCCCAGACUCCUACGGGAGGCAGCAGUGGGGAAUAUUGCGGGAUGGGCGAAAGCGUGAUGCAGCGACGCCGCGUGAGGGAUGGAGGCCUUCGGGUUGUAAACCUCUUUCGCUCAUGGUCAAGCCGCAGCUUUGGGUUGUGGUGAGGGUAGUGGGUAAAGAAGCGCCGGCUAACUACGU